Molecule: small RNA, 837 nt
Filed under: Malus domestica (apple)
Lineage: Eukaryota; Viridiplantae; Streptophyta; Magnoliopsida; Rosales; Rosaceae
Description: sRNA MD14G0074700
Source: RNAcentral
AUGAAAAUGGUCACAAACUCAUUUCUCAGCAUUGCCCUGAGUCCAGACGCCUGCCACGCGCACACCCAUAUCAAUGCCUUUCAGAUGAUCGGAAUGUCCUCGUGUCUAGACCUCUCCGGCUUCUUUGAGAAAGAGUAUGGUCUCUAGAGCCGACAUGAAUGAAGUUUAUGCUGAAUUUGCCAAUUCCAUCGACUCCCAAGAAGCCGUCGAGAAUUCCCAUGUGGAAAGGUGCCCUGGGAGCCUACUUUAUCAACGCAUUUGCUAUUUCCCGGUGGCCCUUCCUUAUGGUGUUUUCAUUGCUUCUUCUCUGCGUAGAUCUCUCCAGCUGGUUGUGCUCAAUAGUCAAACGUUAGCACACAAAAUCCACAUGCUCAAACUUGUUCUGGUUUGAUUUCACGAAUGGUGGUCGUUUGAGUAUCCCCCCAUCGUCUAGGGUUCAGACAUGAGAAGAACGAGAGUCAGAUUCUUGUGUUGGUGCUAGAAUAAGGUGUUCUGUCGUUGAAGUUGUGGAUUUGAUUUGGAGUUUGGUACCUAAAUUCGGUUCCAAGGUUUUCUUUGGUUCAGUGAAAGUUGGCUGGACUACAACAUCCAUCUUUGGUGGGCCGCCGCAAAGGGCAUUAUGUGGUUCAAUGGAAGGGGACUAAAUGGGCCAUUUCUACUUUGGUGGAAGUUGGCUGGGUCGGCAACUUCUUGCUUUGGUCGGACGCUGUUGUGCUGACAGCAUCGAUAGAAAGUUUUAUUUUCGUGACUUCUGACCUAGGUUCGUGAUGCCAACUUAUAAUUCGAGAAUGCUUCAAUUGUAUUCUUCUCAUUAGAAGAAAUUAUACAUACAUACAU